AGAGUUUGAUCCUGGCUCAGGACGAACGCUGGCGGCGUGCUUAACACAUGCAAGUCACGGGGGCCCGCAAGGGCAACCGGCGAACGGGUGCGUAACACGUGAGCAAUCUGCCGAUCUCUGGGGGAUAGCCGGCCCAACGGCCGGGUAAUACCGCAUACGUUCUCGAGGGGGAGUCCCCUUGAGAAGAAACCUCCGGGGGAGAUCGAGGAGCUCGCGACCUAUCAGCUAGUUGGCGGGGUAACGGCCCACCAAGGCAUCGACGGGUAGCUGGUCUGAGAGGAUGGCCAGCCACAUUGGGACUGCGACACGGCCCAGACUCCUACGGGAGGCAGCAGUGGGGAAUAUUGCGCAAUGGACGAAAGUCUGACGCAGCGACGCCGCGUGUGGGAUGAAGCCUUUCGGGGUGUAAACCACUGUUGCCCGGGACGAAACUCUCCUUUCGAGGAGAUUGACGGUACCGGGUGAGGAAGCACCGGCUAACUCUGUGCCAGCAGCCGCGGUAAUACAGAGGGUGCGAGCGUUGUCCGGAAUCACUGGGCGUAAAGGGCGCGUAGGUGGCGGGAUAAGCGUGUGGUGAAAGCCCGGGGCUCAACCCCGUGUCUGCCAUGCGGACUGUCUUGCUCGAGCGUAGUAGAGGCAGGUGGAAUUCCGGGUGUAGCGGUGGAAUGCAGAGAUCCGGAAGAACACCGGUGGCGAAGGCGGCCUGCUGGGCUACUGCUGACACUGAGGCGCGACAGCGUGGGGAGCAAACAGGAUUAGAUACCCCCGUAGUCC
Molecule: ribosomal RNA, 774 nt
Filed under: uncultured bacterium
Lineage: Bacteria
Description: bacterial SSU rRNA
Rfam family: Bacterial small subunit ribosomal RNA
Source: RNAcentral